GGAGGGAUGGCAGAGCGGUUGAAUGCGGCAGUCUUGAAAACUGUUGAGGGCGCAAGUCCUCCGGGGGUUCAAAUCCCUCUCCCUCCGCCA
This 90-nucleotide transfer RNA is filed under the name Deltaproteobacteria bacterium. Its description in RNAcentral is "tRNA-Ser". It matches the Rfam family "tRNA". Rfam says of the family: Transfer RNA (tRNA) molecules are approximately 80 nucleotides in length. Their secondary structure includes four short double-helical elements and three loops (D, anti-codon, and T loops). Further hydrogen bonds mediate the characteristic L-shaped molecular structure. tRNAs have two regions of fundamental functional importance: the anti-codon, which is responsible for specific mRNA codon recognition, and the 3' end, to which the tRNAs corresponding amino acid is attached (by aminoacyl-tRNA synthetases). tRNAs cope with the degeneracy of the genetic code in two manners: having more than one tRNA (with a specific anti-codon) for a particular amino acid; and 'wobble' base-pairing, i.e. permitting non-standard base-pairing at the 3rd anti-codon position. Lineage: Bacteria; Pseudomonadati; Myxococcota; Myxococcia. The record is from RNAcentral.